RNAcentral lists this ribosomal RNA (253 nucleotides) under uncultured bacterium. RNAcentral's name for it is "partial 16S ribosomal RNA". It matches the Rfam family "Bacterial small subunit ribosomal RNA", at positions 524 to 776 of the family's 1533-position model. The record is from RNAcentral.
UACGGAGGGGGCUAGCGUUGUUCGGAAUUACUGGGCGUAAAGCGCACGUAGGCGGCGAUUUAAGUCAGAGGUGAAAGCCCGGGGCUCAACCCCGGAACUGCCUUUGAGACUGGAUUGCUUGAACAUCGGAGAGGUGAGUGGAAUUCCGAGUGUAGAGGUGAAAUUCGUAGAUAUUCGGAAGAACACCAGUGGCGAAGGCGGGUCACUGGACGAUGGUUGGCGCUGAGGUGCGAAAGCGUGGGGAGCAAACAGG